GUUAAGCGACUAAGCGUACACGGUGGAUGCCCUGGCAGUCAGAGGCGAUGAAGGGCGUGCUAAUCUGCGAUAAGCGCCGGUAAGGUGAUAUGAACCGUUAUAACCGGCGAUACCCGAAUGGGGAAACCCAGUGUGACUCGUCACACUAUCAUUAACUGAAUCCAUAGGUUAAUGAGGCGAACCGGGGGAACUGAAACAUCUAAGUACCCCGAGGAAAAGAAAUCAACCGAGAUUCCCCCAGUAGCGGCGAGCGAACGGGGAGGAGCCCAGAGCCUGAAUCAGCAUGUGUGUUAGUGGAAGCGUCUGGAAAGGCGCGCGAUACAGGGUGACAGCCCCGUACACAAAAGCGCAUGUGCUGUGAGCUCGAUGAGUAGGGCGGGACACGUGGUAUCCUGUCUGAAUAUGGGGGGACCAUCCUCCAAGGCUAAAUACUCCUGACUGACCGAUAGUGAACCAGUACCGUGAGGGAAAGGCGAAAAGAACCCCGGCGAGGGGAGUGAAAAAGAACCUGAAACCGUGUACGUACAAGCAGUGGGAGCCCCACCACUAAGCCAGUGGUGAACUCCACAUACGCAUCCUUUGCUGAGGAUACGGUUAACGGAGCGAAAGCGACGUUCAACCUCAAAAGAAGCAGAGGGGGCUUAGUGGUGGGGUGACUGCGUACCUUUUGUAUAAUGGGUCAGCGACUUAUAUUCUGUAGCAAGGUUAACCGUAUAGGGGAGCCGUAGGGAAACCGAGUCUUAAC
RNAcentral lists this ribosomal RNA (745 nucleotides) under Salmonella enterica subsp. enterica serovar Bovismorbificans. RNAcentral describes it as "partial 23S ribosomal RNA". It matches the Rfam family "Bacterial large subunit ribosomal RNA", at positions 1 to 688 of the family's 2925-position model. The record is from RNAcentral. Lineage: Bacteria; Pseudomonadati; Pseudomonadota; Gammaproteobacteria; Enterobacterales; Enterobacteriaceae.